CACUCCUGCGGGAGGCAGCAGUGGGGAAUUUUGGACAAUGGGCGAAAGCCUGAUCCAGCCAUGCCGCGUGCAGGAUGAAGGCCUUCGGGUUGUAAACUGCUUUUGUACGGAACGAAACGGCCUUUUCUAAUAAAGAGGGCUAAUGACGGUACCGUAAGAAUAAGCACCGGCUAACUACGUGCCAGCAGCCGCGGUAAUACGUAGGGUGCAAGCGUUAAUCGGAAUUACUGGGCGUAAAGCGUGCGCAGGCGGUUAUGUAAGACAGUUGUGAAAUCCCCGGGCUCAACCUGGGAACUGCAUCUGUGACUGCAUAGCUAGAGUACGGUAGAGGGGGAUGGAAUUCCGCGUGUAGCAGUGAAAUGCGUAGAUAUGCGGAGGAACACCGAUGGCGAAGGCAAUCCCCUGGACCUGUACUGACGCUCAUGCACGAAAGCGUGGGGAGCAAACAGGAUUAGAUACCCUAGUAGUCCC
This 471-nucleotide ribosomal RNA is filed under the name uncultured organism. Its description in RNAcentral is "partial 16S ribosomal RNA". It matches the Rfam family "Bacterial small subunit ribosomal RNA", at positions 334 to 797 of the family's 1533-position model. The record is from RNAcentral.